UACAGAGGGUGCGAGCGUUAAUCGGAAUUACUGGGCGUAAAGCGCGCGUAGGCGGCUUUGCAAGUCGGGUGUGAAAUCCCCAGGCUUAACCUGGGAACUGCAUUCGAGACUGCAUUGCUAGAGUAUGGGAGAGGGAAGUGGAAUUUCCGGUGUAGCGGUGAAAUGCGUAGAUAUGCGGAGGAACACCGAUGGCGAAGGCAAUCCCCUGGAUCUGUACUGACGCUCAUGCACGAAAGCGUGGGGAGCAAACAGG
This 253-nucleotide ribosomal RNA is filed under the name uncultured bacterium. RNAcentral's name for it is "partial 16S ribosomal RNA". It matches the Rfam family "Bacterial small subunit ribosomal RNA", at positions 524 to 776 of the family's 1533-position model. The record is from RNAcentral.